RNAcentral lists this ribosomal RNA (1243 nucleotides) under metagenome. Its description in RNAcentral is "bacterial LSU rRNA". It matches the Rfam family "Bacterial large subunit ribosomal RNA", at positions 1564 to 2816 of the family's 2925-position model. The record is from RNAcentral.
UGAAUACGAGACGCUAAGGCGUCGAAGUAGUGUAUGUCAUACUUCCAAGAAAAGCUUGCACUGUCAUAAGUAAAAAAUGCCUGUACCAUAACCGACACAGGUGGGUAGGUAGAGUAUACUAGGGGCGCGAGAUAACUCUCUCUAAGGAACUCGGCAAAAUAACUCCGUAACUUCGGGAGAAGGAGUACCUUAUUCUAUAAGGUUGCAAUAACAAGAUCCAAGCAACUGUUUAUCAAAAACACAGGUCUCCGCUAAGUCGUAAGACGAUGUAUGGGGGCUGACGCCUGCCCAGUGCCAGAAGGUUAAAGAAGUCGGUUAGCAUUAGCGAAGCUGGUAACUGAAGCCCUGGUGAACGGCGGCCGUAACAAUAACGGUCCUAAGGUAGCGAAAUUCCUUGUCGGGUAAGUUCCGACCCGCACGAAAGGCGUAAUGAUUUGGAUACUGUCUCGGAGAGGGGCUCGGUGAAAUAGACUUGUCUGUGAAGAUGCGGACUACCUGCACCAGGACAGAAAGACCCUAUGAAGCUUUACUGUAACUUGAAAUUGAAAUUGGACUUUAUUCGCGCAGUAUAGGUGGGAGGUGUUGAUUAUAAUCUUGCGGGAUUAUUGGAGCCAUCAGUGAGAUACCACUCUUGUAAUGUUAGAUUUCUAACUUUGAAUCAUUAUCUGGUCAAAGGACAGUUUCAGGCGGGCAGUUUGACUGGGGCGGUCGCCUCCCAAACGGUAACGGAGGCGUACAAAGGUUUCCUCUGAACGGGUAGAAAUCGUAUCUAGAGUGUAAAGGCAUAAGGAAGCUUGACUGUGAGACCUACAAGUCGAACAGGGACGAAAGUCGGUCUUAGUGAUCUGACGGUACUGAGUGGAAAGGCCGUCACUCAACGGAUAAAAGUUACUCUAAGGAUAACAGGCUGAUCUCCCCCAAGAGUUCACAUCGACGGGGAGGUUUGGCACCUCGAUGUCGGCUCAUCGCAUCCUGGGGCGGUAGUACGUCCCAAGGGUUGGGCUGUUCGCCCAUGAAAGCGGUACGCGAGCUGGGUUCAGAACGUCGUGAGACAGUUCGGUCCAUAUCCGGUGUAGGCGUUAGAAUAUUGAGAGGAGCCUUCUUUAGUACGAGAGGACCGAGAAGGACAUACCUCUGGUGUACCAGUUAUCGUGCCAACGGUAAACGCUGGGUAGCUAUAUAUGGAGUGGAUAACCGCUGAAAGCAUCUAAGUGGGAAGCCCACCUCAAGAUAAGUAUUCUCA